AUAUCAUCACUACAAUUACCACCACCGGUACAACCAGUAACGGGGCGGGCUGACGCAUACAGAAAAGUGAAAAUGAAAAAGCCCGCACUUCACAGUGCGGGCUUUUUUUU
This 110-nucleotide small RNA is filed under the name Edwardsiella tarda. The record is from RNAcentral. Lineage: Bacteria; Pseudomonadati; Pseudomonadota; Gammaproteobacteria; Enterobacterales; Hafniaceae.